This 468-nucleotide ribosomal RNA is filed under the name uncultured bacterium. RNAcentral describes it as "partial 16S ribosomal RNA". It matches the Rfam family "Bacterial small subunit ribosomal RNA", at positions 28 to 507 of the family's 1533-position model. The record is from RNAcentral.
GACGAACGCUGGCGGCGUGCUUAACACAUGCAAGUCGAACGGAAAGGCCCUGCUUUUGUGGGGUGCUCGAGUGGCGAACGGGUGAGUAACACGUGAGUAACCUUCCCUUUACUUUGGGAUAACUUCAGGAAACUGGUGCUAAUACCUGAUAGGAGCUCCUGCUGCAUGGUGGGGUUUGGAAAGUUUCGGCGGUUGGGGAUCGACUCGCGGCUUAUUAGCUUGUUGGUGGGGUAGUGGCUUACCAAGGCUUUGACGGGUAGCCGGCCUGAGAGGGUGACCGGCCACAUUGGGACUGAGAGACGGCCCAGACUCCUACGGGAGGCAGCAGUGGGGAAUAUUGCACAAUGGGCGGAAGCCUGAUGAAGCAACGCCGCGUGCGGGAUGAAGGCCUUCGGGUUGUAAACCGCUUUCGCCUGUGACGAAGCGUGAGUGACGGUAAUGGGUAAAGAAGCACCGGCUAACUACGUG